UACGUAGGGUGCAAGCGUUGUCCGGAAUUAUUGGGCGUAAAGAGCUCGUAGGCGGUUUGUCGCGUCUGCUGUGAAAACCCGAGGCUCAACCUCGGGCCUGCAGUGGGUACGGGCAGACUAGAGUGCGGUAGGGGAGAGUGGAAUUCCUGGUGUAGCGGUGGAAUGCGCAGAUAUCAGGAGGAACACCAAUGGCGAAGGCAGAUCUCUGGGCCGUAACUGACGCUGAGGAGCGAAAGCAUGGGGAGCGAACAGG
This 253-nucleotide ribosomal RNA is filed under the name uncultured bacterium. Its description in RNAcentral is "partial 16S ribosomal RNA". It matches the Rfam family "Bacterial small subunit ribosomal RNA", at positions 524 to 776 of the family's 1533-position model. The record is from RNAcentral.